This 84-nucleotide transfer RNA is filed under the name compost metagenome. RNAcentral describes it as "tRNA-Ser". The record is from RNAcentral.
CGCCGGCGACAGCCGGCUGGUCGACGCGGCGCGCGGUCGAGACGCGCGCGGCGCUCGCGCGCUGCUGAGUCAGCGCGUCGACGU